ACCUAGCCCCGAUAGUAGCGACAUCCUUUUUUGUUUUUUUAGAUUCCUCACUUCGUUCGGAAUGACAAAACGUCUAAAAAACAAAAAAGAUAUAGCGGAUAGCGGGAUUAAGC
This 113-nucleotide small RNA is filed under the name Epilithonimonas hominis. Its description in RNAcentral is "Chryseobacterium hominis Flavo-1 RNA". It matches the Rfam family "Flavo-1 RNA". The record is from RNAcentral. Lineage: Bacteria; Pseudomonadati; Bacteroidota; Flavobacteriia; Flavobacteriales; Weeksellaceae.